Molecule: ribosomal RNA, 429 nt
Filed under: Pseudomonadota bacterium
Lineage: Bacteria; Pseudomonadati; Pseudomonadota
Description: Proteobacteria bacterium partial 16S ribosomal RNA
Rfam family: Bacterial small subunit ribosomal RNA
Source: RNAcentral
UGGGGAAUAUUGGACAAUGGGCGAAAGCCUGAUCCAGCCAUGCCGCGUGUGUGAAGAAGGUCUUCGGAUUGUAAAGCACUUUAAGUUGGGAGGAAGGGCAGUAAGCGAAUACCUUGCUGUUUUGACGUUACCGACAGAAUAAGCACCGGCUAACUCUGUGCCAGCAGCCGCGGUAAUACAGAGGGUGCAAGCGUUAAUCGGAAUUACUGGGCGUAAAGCGCGCGUAGGUGGUUCGUUAAGUUGAAUGUGAAAGCCCCGGGCUCAACCUGGGAACUGCAUCCAAAACUGGCGAGCUUGAGUAGGGCAGAGGGUGGUGGAAUUUCCUGUGUAGCGGUGAGAUGCGUAAGUAUAGGAGGGAACAACAGUGGCGAAGGCGACCACCUGGGCUCAUACUGACACAAAAGUGCGAAAGCGUGAGGAGCAAACAGG